This 337-nucleotide unclassified non-coding RNA is filed under the name soil metagenome. Its description in RNAcentral is "partial contains 5.8S ribosomal RNA, internal transcribed spacer 2, and large subunit ribosomal RNA". The stretch from base 1 to 120 matches the Rfam family "5.8S ribosomal RNA", at positions 35 to 154 of the family's 154-position model. The record is from RNAcentral.
GAUGAAGAACGUAGCGAAAUGCGAUAAGUAGUGUGAAUUGCAGAAUUCAGUGAAUCAUCGAAUCUUUGAACGCACAUUGCGCCCCUUGGUAUUCCAUGGGGCAUGCCUGUUCGAGCGUCAUUUGCACCUUCAAGCUCUGCUUGGUGUUGGGUGUUUGUCUCGCGUCUGCGUGUAGACUCGCCUCAAAACAAUUGGCAGCCGGCGUAUUGAUUUCGGAGCGCAGUACAUCUCGCGCUUUGCACUCAUAACGACGACGUCCAAAAGUACAUUUUUACACUCUUGACCUCGGAUCAGGUAGGGAUACCCGCUGAACUUAAGCAUAUCAAUAAGCGGAGGA